ACCAGCUGAUGAGUCCCAAACAGGACGAAAUGCUCCUUAUCCUGGAU
Molecule: non-coding RNA, 47 nt
Filed under: Trichobilharzia regenti
Lineage: Eukaryota; Metazoa; Platyhelminthes; Trematoda; Strigeidida; Schistosomatidae
Source: RNAcentral